UGAAUACGAGAUGCUACGGCAUCGAAGCAGUCUAUGUCAUACUUCCAAGAAAAGCUUGCACUGUCAUAAACAAAUAAUGCCUGUACCAUAACCGACACAGGUGGGUAGGUAGAGUAUACUAAGGGGCGCGAGAUAACUCUCUCUAAGGAACUCGGCAAAAUGACUCCGUAACUUCGGGAGAAGGAGUGCCUUAUUUUAUAAGGUUGCAAUAACAAGAUCCAAGCAACUGUUUACCAAAAACACAGGUCUCCGCUAAGUCGUAAGACGAUGUAUGGGGGCUGACGCCUGCCCAGUGCCAGAAGGUUAAAGAAGUUGGUUAGCAUUAGCGAAGCUGAUAACUGAAGCCCUGGUGAACGGCGGCCGUAACAAUAACGGUCCUAAGGUAGCGAAAUUCCUUGUCGGGUAAGUUCCGACCCGCACGAAAGGCGUAAUGAUUUGGAUACUGUCUCGGAGAGGGGCUCGGUGAAAUAGACUUGUCUGUGAAGAUGCGGACUACCUGCACCAGGACAGAAAGACCCUAUGAAGCUUUACUGUAACUUGAGAUUGAAAUUGGACUUUAUUUGCGCAGUAUAGGUGGGAGACGUUGAAAAUAUUCUUGCGGGAAUAUUGGAGUCAUCAGUGAGAUACCACUCUUAUAAUGUUAGAUUUCUAACUUUGUAUCAUUAUCUGGUCAAAGAACAGUCUCAGGCGGGCAGUUUGACUGGGGCGGUCGCCUCCCAAACGGUAACGGAGGCGCACAAAGGUUUCCUCUGAACGUGUAGAAAUCGUAUCUAGAGUGUAAAGGCAUAAGGAAGCUUGACUGUGAGACCUACAAGUCGAGCAGGGACGAAAGUCGGUCUUAGUGAUCUGACGGUGCUGAGUGGAAAGGCCGUCACUCAACGGAUAAAAGUUACUCUAGGAUAACAGGCUGAUCUCCCCCAAGAGUUCACAUCGACGGGGAGGUUUGGCACCUCGAUGUCGGCUCAUCGCAUCCUGGGGCGGUAGUACGUCCCAAGGGUUGGGCUGUUCGCCCAUGAAAGCGGUACGCGAGCUGGGUUCAGAACGUCGUGAGACAGUUCGGUCCAUAUCCGGUGUAGGCGUUAGAAUAUUGAGAGGAGCCUUCUUUAGUACGAGAGGACCGAGAAGGACAUACCUCUGGUGUACCAGUUAUCGUGCCAACGGUAAACGCUGGGUAGCUAUGUAUGGAGAGGAUAACCGCUGAAAGCAUCUAAGUGGGAAGCCCACCUCAAGAUAAGUAUUCUC
This 1242-nucleotide ribosomal RNA is filed under the name metagenome. RNAcentral's name for it is "bacterial LSU rRNA". It matches the Rfam family "Bacterial large subunit ribosomal RNA", at positions 1564 to 2815 of the family's 2925-position model. The record is from RNAcentral.